Molecule: ribosomal RNA, 253 nt
Filed under: uncultured bacterium
Lineage: Bacteria
Description: partial 16S ribosomal RNA
Rfam family: Bacterial small subunit ribosomal RNA
Source: RNAcentral
UCCGUAGGGCGCAAGCGUUGUCCGGAAUUAUUGGGCGUAAAGAGCUCUUAGGUGGUGUGUCGCGUCUGCCGUGAAAGCCCGGGGCUUAACUCCGGGUCUGCGGUGGAUACGGGCAGACUAGAGGCAGGUAGGGGAGAACGGAAUUCCCGGUGUAGCGGUGAGAUGCGCAGAUAUCAGGAGGAACACCGGUGGCGAAGGCGGGUCUCUGGGCAACAACUGACGCUGAGACGCGAAAGCGUGGGGAGCGAACAGG